Molecule: non-coding RNA, 1405 nt
Organism: Pelodiscus sinensis (Chinese soft-shelled turtle)
Lineage: Eukaryota; Metazoa; Chordata; Testudines; Trionychidae
Source: RefSeq, a predicted model, not a curated record
AGUCGGCUGCCCCUGUAUCAGGGGGAAUACGGCCCACUGGCCUAUGCAGGCUCUGCGGCCUAGUCCUCAGGCUGAGCUUCCCACUCGCCGGGGUUCAGGGCAGGAGGAGUAGGGGGGCCUGGGCCCUCCCUCUCCACCGGGCCCCGACCCAGGGCCCUAUGAGCGGCAGGAAAGGAAAUCGACAUUCGUGUGGGUCUUCCCCGGAUGAUGGGCUAUACUGAAGUCGUAAGUCUGCAAAGACAGGUCUGAAUUGACAGCUAAAGGGUACAAGUCAAAACAAGAUCAGCACUCCAUGAAGAACUUUAGGGUAUUGCCUGGCCAGUAUGUGAUUAUGGUCCAUGAAGUGACCAUGCCUCCAUUCUUGGGCCAGACUCUCCUACCUGCUUUCAAGCUCUUGAGGGUUUUUUCCAGAGAGAACCAAAAUCAAGAACAUUAAAAAGGAAACUGUGCAAGCCACCACCAUAUAAAAAGUUCCAAAUGAGGUAUGUUGUGGACUGGUCAAUUUGUAACUCUGAAGUUCGUAACUCUGAGAUUCUAUUAUUUGUAAACUGUGUGUAUUUUAACAGAAUUUCAUUCAAAUGAACUGGAGUAUAUGCAACAAUUUAAUCAGAUAAUGAUGAUCCUAUACAACCUGUUGAACCAGCCGGGCUCCUAAUGGAAGAAAAUCUUCACAGCAAAUUAACUUGUAUAUGAACACCUCUGUAAUGACAUGUUUACUAAUAUAUUGGUCUGUGCAUAAAGUCUUGUUCAUUAACUACAUAUUAAAAACACCUGCCCACUACAAGAUGGCAACAAGGCUACUAUCUUCUCUCUUAAAACUGGUUCCUGUGAUAAACUAAGGAGGAUAAAAGCUGGGUUAAUUAUUCAAAAAAUGUCUUUGUUGAAUAGUCCAUAAAUGAUGGUCAGUGAUGUUUACCUAAUUGUAAUAUAUUUGUAUUUAGUGGCAUCUACUGUUGGAGAUGUAAUAUAGAAUCCCAUACUGGGUGAAAAGUUCAAGGUAUACCCAUAAAACACAUGAAAGUUUGCCAUGCAACAAGAAAAGAACAGAGCUCUGAGUGUAAAAUGGGAUCAGAGAAAAAUCAAAAAUUUUAAAACAUUAAAUAGGAGCUCCUAGAAAAACAAAAUCAUUACUAUCUGUCAAGGGUCUAUCAGUGUGAUUCACCACCCAAUGCCAACAUCUAAAAUGAAAACUUCAGCAGAAAAAUAGAGAAGGGGGAAAUAUGGUAAAAGUGAAAAUGGAAAAUUGUCUUUGAUGUGUCUGUUUGUUAAUUUAGAAUUCCCAUUUCAAUCAUCUUAACUUUUUAAAAAAUAGUUAAAACCUUGCCUGAUUUUUAGCAUUGUAUUAAGUUCAUUGACUGACUGCAGAAUACGGAGAGAAUUAAAGGAGGAAACUGUGCACUGAGCU